CUUGCUCUUGGAUCCCAGCUGCCAAGUCAGGAGGAAGCCAUGGCCACCCAGGAAGGCCCCAGCAAUGUGAAAGAGUCUCAAAAACAUAAUAAUGAAGAAAUGAAACUAUACACAUAAGACUAUGAAGAGUAUAAUUUCCCUGGUGAAAUUCUGAAAGGGGAAAGACAUUCUUUGUUCUGAAAACAUCAAACCAUGGAGAACAGCCUUUGUGAAGAUGAGGGUGAAGUUGAAUGUGUGGGGCCAAGGCACCUCCUGGGAUGGUGUCAUGUUCUACAUCUUGAAGAGGUUUUGUCUUACAUAGAUACACUCAACCACAGAUCCUAUUAACUGGCAACCUGAAGGUUUAUGCACCUUGAGGACUGCUGAACACCUUGACACAGCUAGCUCGUGCAUCUAAGAGAUUGACUGAGGCAGCAGCUUUGAAAUACUUCUUCAACUACUGCAAAGACUGCAAGAUAUCCAUUAAAGCACAAUUUACUUCAUCAGCAAGCCUUCUGCAAGCUGUUCCCAAAAAGGGUGAAAUGAGCUGUGGCCUGGAAAGGUUACCUGGACACGUGGGAAAUUUCACAAUCUUUUCAACGUUGGCUUUUUUCCAUGUAAAAAGAAGCUAUCAUCUUCUGGGAAGAAAAAAGGCUGAGAAAUUCCGUGAUCUGCCAUCUGCAAGCUGGAUAAUAAGAUAAGCUGGUGGUGUAAUUUAGUCUACACUGGAAUGCCUGAGAAUCAGGAGUUAACAGUUUAAGUCUUCUUCAGAGUCCACAGGCUGGAGAACCAGAAGCUUUGGUACCCCAAGACAGGAGCAGGUGGGUGUCCUAGCUCAAGAAAAGACAGCAAAUUCACCCU
This 840-nucleotide long non-coding RNA is filed under the name Callithrix jacchus (white-tufted-ear marmoset). RNAcentral's name for it is "lncRNA (ENSCJAG00000079331.1)". Lineage: Eukaryota; Metazoa; Chordata; Mammalia; Primates; Cebidae. The record is from RNAcentral.